This 253-nucleotide ribosomal RNA is filed under the name uncultured bacterium. RNAcentral's name for it is "partial 16S ribosomal RNA". It matches the Rfam family "Bacterial small subunit ribosomal RNA", at positions 524 to 776 of the family's 1533-position model. The record is from RNAcentral.
UACGUAGGGUGCAAGCGUUGUCCGGAAUUAUUGGGCGUAAAGAGCUCGUAGGCGGUUUGUUGCGUCGGCUGUGAAAUCCCGAGGCUCAACCUCGGGUCUGCAGUCGAUACGGGCAAACUAGAGUGUUGCAGGGGAGACUGGAAUUCCUGGUGUAGCGGUGAAAUGCGCAGAUAUCAGGAGGAACACCGGUGACGAAGGCGGGUCUCUGGGCAACAACUGACGCUGAGGAGCGAAAGCGUGGGGAGCGAACAGG